UGUGUAUGCAAUAUUUCCAAUGGCCAAAAAAUCCAAGUUUAUCAUUGUUGACUAAAACAAAGUCAACUGUGAUAUGUACACAGGAUGAAAUUCAGCAUACUUGUAACUAUUGGCAAAUACUAAUUUUUCUCUCUAAAAAUGGACCAAAAUGAAGCAUAUUUGAUUCAUAAAAAUGCAGAAAGGUUUAAAAUAAAGUUUUUAUUAUUAAUUGCAAUGUAAUGAAGCAUUUAUCACAGAUGAAUAUAAACAAGGCUUCAAUAUAUACAAACAGUAUAUCCUCUUUGAGGACUAAAACUGUGAAGACAAAACAAAUUAACAUACUUGUAAUGCAAUUUGAUCACAUUAGUACAGAUGGAUGGAUUCAUAGGUAAAUACAUGUACACUCUGUUUCGUUGAAGAAAAACACAAAAUGGCUUAAAUUUAAUUUCAUUUAUGAAAUACACCUUUGAUUUGAAUUGCCCAUUGAUUUUCCUUCCUUUUUUAACACAGCAAAUUGGUAUAAGUAAUUUGAUUAUCCUGAACAUUUCUGCAAUACCGCUACUGAUCAUUUUAUGCCCCUGAAGCAAACUAUAUUUGGUUGUUUAUAUUAAAAUAUACAUUAUACCCCAAAAUCUUAGGAGUUAACCAACCUUGAAUAAUAAACUUAUGAUCAGCACAACUUAAAAAAGAUCUUAAAAUACUUUGUUUAUCAAAUAAUCUUUUAACUUUACUGAAGUGUAUUAAAUGUACAAUGUAAAUAUAUUAUAACUUUAGUCACAUAUUAUAUUUAGUACAUGUAGUGCUGUUCAUGGGUGAAUGUAACAGAGCAGGUAAAUACAACACAAGCCCCUUCCCUAAAAAACUAAAGCCAAAGUCAUAUUAUAAUACAAUACAAUAAUAAACAGAAGGUAAAAUAAUCAUUACAAUACAAGAACAAACAACUGUUUACUAAAACAAGUGCUUUAUUUCAGUCAAAACAAUAGCACUUAAGAUGUAAAUUAAUGUGUAGGUCCUUUUUCAAAAUUGAUGAAACUUAAAAACAAUUGUUUUAGUCAACAAUGAUAAAAUAUUAUAAUCAUUGAUUGUCAGAUCAAAUACAAAUUGCCUCCCUACUUAUAAAUAAACAAGAAUGUGUCCUCAGUACACGGAUGCCCCACUUGCACUAUCAUUUCCUACGUUCAGUAUACCAUGAAAUUGGGGUAAAAACUCUUAAUUUGGCAUUACAAUUAGAAAGAUCAUAUCAUAAGGAACAUGUGUUCUAAGUUUCAAGUUUCAUCAAAAACUACCUUGACCAAAAACUUUAACCUGAAGCGGGACGAAGGGACGAACAGACAGACCAGAAAACAUAAUGCCCCUCUACUAUCGUACAUGGAGCAUAAAAUGAAUGAUCAGGUUUAAAUACUUAUUUCUAUAGGUUUUAAAGACAUGCUUGCUAAGGGUGUGUUUUUCAAAUUCACCCUUCAAAUAAUUACCACCCCAAAAAGAAAUUUACUGUUUAGAUCUGAAAAGCAUAAUCAGUUUCUUCAAUCAAGAUUGUUGUUAACUUGUGAAUUUCUGGCAACAAAUUAUAAAUAUAAUCUUAAAAACAUCAGAACAGAAAUUUCUGCUAUGCAUUACAGUUCUGUUCACAAAAAUAAAAUUUUAAGUUUUAAAUUACUCAUUUUUAAUAAUAUAUAUAUAUAUAUAUCUUCAAUACACUAACAGUAAAUAGUUUACAAUAGUUAUAUACAUGAGACUCACCCUUAUAUCAUAAACAAAUAACUUAAUUCAUCCUAAAUAUCCAUGUACUUCAAAUUUAUAAUGAAUUUAUAGUAUAAAUCAUUCAUAGAGUGAUCUAAUAAGUUACAAAGCAUGUCUUGAAACAGUGAAAUCAAUCACAAAUCAAGUAAGGGUUCUACUGAUCUCUUGAGGGCAGAAAAAAACCCGUUUAUAAAUAGACUAAAUAAAACCCAAAUAAACAUUCCUUGGCAUGUACAAAAUUCCCCCUUGAAAUAGUAGCAACUACAAGUGAAAACAAACCAUAAUAUGAAUAUGAACUAUUGUACAAUGUAUUAGGAUUUGUUUGAAAUCAAACAUUUUUUUCCAAUAACCAGUAAAGAGAAGAUAGACAAGAGUGUGUACUGAAUUGUAAAUAUGAAUGAACCUAUAUAACUUGUAACCUUCUUGGUUGUCAGUUUAUUAUCAAUCUAUGAGUUUGACUGUCCCUCUGGUAUCUUUCGUCCCUCUUUUAUCAAAUAAAUAUAAUGUUUGGUAUAGCAUAAUCAAUGAAACUCUCAGCUAAUCAAACUUGUUCUCAAUCAUAGUAAACACAUGAUUCAAAUAUAACAAGAAGUAAUUGUAACAGGAUGCUGUUACGAAGUCUCCCAAACAAAGCUCCAAUAACUCGCCAUUCAUAUGGUCCCAUGUUCAUUUGAUUUGAUUUUUUGUCCCAUACAAGAAUAUAUAUGGCUUACGGGUGGGUAUCUCCACCAUUUACAAGUAUUCAAACAGGAGGGGGUGGUGAUAACCCCCAGGGACUUUACCUACAUUUCAUUUGAUUUGUUUUAUUGUCCCCUACAAGAAUAUAUAUGGUUUAGGGGUGGGGAUCUGGACCGUUUACAAGAUAAUAGCACAUUCUCAAAUUGAACAGGGUGGGGGCAACCCCAGGAACUUUCCUUUUAUUUCAUUUGAUUAGCCUUAUUGUCCCAUACAAGAAUAUAUAUAUGGUUUAGGGGUAGGGAUGUUGACCGUUUACAAGUUUUCAGACAAGAGGGGUGGGGUUACCCCCUAGGGACUUCCCUUUUAUUUCAUUUCAUUUGUUUUAUUGUCCCCUACAAGAAUAUAUAUGGUUUAGGGUUGGGGAUGUUGACCAUUUACAAGUUUUCAAACAAGAGGGGGUGGUGAUAACCCCAGGGACUUUACCUACAUUUCAUUUGAUUUGUUUUAUUGUCCCCUACAAGAAUAUAUAUGGUUUAGGGGUGGGGAUCUGGACCGUUUACAAGAUAAUAGCACAUUCUCAAAUUGAACAGGGUGGGGGCGACCCCAGGAACUUUCCUUUUAUUUUAUUUGAUUAGCCUUAUUGUCCCAUACAAGAAUAUAUAUGGUUUAGGGGUAGGGAUGUUGACCGUUUACAAGUUUUCAGACAAGAGGGGGUGGGGUUACCCCCUAGGGACUUCCCAUUUAUUUCAUUUCAUUUGUUUUAUUGUCCCCUACAAGAAUAUAUAUGGUUUAGGGGUGGGGAUGUUGACCGUUUACAAGUUUUCAAACAAGAGGGGGUGGGGUGAUCCCCUCAGGACUUCCCUUUUAUUUCAUUUGCAUUUGUUUUAUUGUCCUCUACAAGAAUAUAUAUGGUUUAGGGGUGGGGAUCUGGACCAUUUACAAGAUAAUAGUACAUUCUCAAAUUGAACGGGGUGGGGGUGACCCCCAGGAACUUCCAUUUAAUUUCAUUUGAUUAGUUUUAUUGUCCAAUACAAGAAUAUAUAUGGUUUAGGGGUGGGGAUGUUGACCGUUUACAAGUUUUCAAACAAGAUGGGGUGGGGUGACCCCCUAGGGACUUCCCUUUUAUUUCAUUUCAUUUGUUUUAUUGUCCUCUACAAGAAUAUAUAUGGUUUAGGGGUGGGGAUCUCGACCGUUUACAAGAUAAUAGCACAUUCUCAAAUUGAACGGGGUGGGGAGGACCCCCGGGGACUUCCCUUUAAUUUCAUUUGAUUUGUUUUAUCGUCCCAUUCAAAAAUGUAUGAGGUUUAGGGGUGGGGAUCUGGACUGUUUAUAAGAUAAAAGCAUAUUCUCAAAUUGAAGGGGGUGAGGAUGACCCCCCAGGGACUCCCCCUAUAUUUCAUGUGAUUUGUUUUAUUGUCCUAUAAUCAUUUCUGAAGACUACAUGUACCUAUCACUUACAGUUUUCAAGUUAUAUUCAUUUGAAAAUUUUAGAAAAUAAAAUCCCAUAGGGUUCUAUAG
RNAcentral lists this long non-coding RNA (3915 nucleotides) under Mytilus galloprovincialis (Mediterranean mussel). Lineage: Eukaryota; Metazoa; Mollusca; Bivalvia; Mytilida; Mytilidae. The record is from RNAcentral.